This 423-nucleotide ribosomal RNA is filed under the name uncultured eukaryote. RNAcentral's name for it is "SSU rRNA". It matches the Rfam family "Eukaryotic small subunit ribosomal RNA", at positions 592 to 1018 of the family's 1831-position model. The record is from RNAcentral.
CAAUAGCGUAUAUUAAAGUUGUUGCGGUUAAAAAGCUCGUAGUUGGAUUUCUGUUGGGACGACCGUUCCGCCCUCUGGGUGAGUAUCUGGUUCGGCCUUGGCAUCUUCUUGGAGAACGUCGCUGCACUUGAUUGUGUGGCGCGGUAUCCAAGACUUUUACUUUGAGGAAAUUAGAGUGUUUCAAGCAGGCGCACGCCUUGAAUACAUUAGCAUGGAAUAAUAACAUAGGACCUUGGUUCUAUUUUGUUGGUUUCUAGAGCUGAGGUAAUGAUUAAUAGGGAUAGUCGGGGGCGAUUCGUAUUUAACUGUCAGAGGUGAAUACUUGGAUUAUGAAAGACGAACUUCUGCGAAAGCAUUUGCCAAGGAUGUUUUCUAUUAAUUCAAGAACGAAAGUUGGGGGCGUCGAAGAUGAUUAGAUACCAU